This 467-nucleotide ribosomal RNA is filed under the name uncultured bacterium. Its description in RNAcentral is "bacterial SSU rRNA". It matches the Rfam family "Bacterial small subunit ribosomal RNA", at positions 329 to 792 of the family's 1533-position model. The record is from RNAcentral.
GUCCAGACUCCUACGGGAGGCAGCAGUGAGGAAUAUUGGUCAAUGGGCGCAAGCCUGAACCAGCCAAGUCGCGUGAGGGAUGACGGUCCUAUGGAUUGUAAACCUCUUUUGUCGGGGAGCAAGGCCCGCCACGUGUGGCGGGAAGGAGAGUACCCGAAGAAAAAGCAUCGGCUAACUCCGUGCCAGCAGCCGCGGUAAUACGGAGGGGGCGAGCGUUAAUCGGAAUUACUGGGCGUAAAGCGCUCGUAGGCGGUAUGUCAAGUCAAGGGUGAAAUCCCCGCGCUCAACGUGGGAACUGCCUUUGAAACUGGCAAACUGGAGUGUGUGAGAGGAUAGUGGAAUUCCAGGUGUAGGAGUGAAAUCCGUAGAUAUCUGGAGGAACAUCAGUGGCGAAGGCGACUAUCUGGCACAUAACUGACGCUGAGGAGCGAAAGCGUGGGUAGCAAACAGGAUUAGAUACCCGGGUA